GACGAACGCUGGCGGCGUGCCUAAUACAUGCAAGUCGAACGCAUUUUCUUUCACCGUAGCUUGCUACACCGAAAGAAAAUGAGUGGCGAACGGGUGAGUAACACGUGGGUAACCUGCCCAUCAGCGGGGGAUAACACUUGGAAACAGGUGCUAAUACCGCAUAAUUCCAUUUACCGCAUGGUAGAUGGGUGAAAGGCGCUUUUGCGUCACUGAUGGAUGGACCCGCGGUGCAUUAGCUAGUUGGUGGGGUAACGGCCUACCAAGGCUGCGAUGCAUAGCCGACCUGCGAGGGUGAUCGGCCACACUGGGACUGAGACACGGCCCAGACUCCUACGGGAGGCAGCAGUAGGGAAUCUUCGGCAAUGGCCGCAAGUCUGACCGAGCAACGCCGCGUGAGUGAAGAAGGUUUUCGGAUCGUAAAACUCUGUUGUUAGAGAAGAACAAGGAUGAGAGUGGAAAGUUCAUCCCUUGACGGUAUCUAACCAGAAAGCCACGGCUAACUACGUG
RNAcentral lists this ribosomal RNA (507 nucleotides) under uncultured bacterium. RNAcentral's name for it is "partial 16S ribosomal RNA". It matches the Rfam family "Bacterial small subunit ribosomal RNA", at positions 28 to 507 of the family's 1533-position model. The record is from RNAcentral.